RNAcentral lists this ribosomal RNA (280 nucleotides) under uncultured prokaryote. RNAcentral describes it as "partial 16S ribosomal RNA". It matches the Rfam family "Bacterial small subunit ribosomal RNA", at positions 524 to 803 of the family's 1533-position model. The record is from RNAcentral.
UACGUAGGGGCUAGCGUUAUCCGGAAUUACUGGGCGUAAAGGGUGCGUAGGUGGUUUCUUAAGUCAGAGGUGAAAGGCUACGGCUCAACCGUAGUAAGCCUUUGAAACUGGGAAACUUGAGUGCAGGAGAGGAAAGCGGAAUUCCUAGUGUAGCGGUGAAAUGCGCAGAUAUCAGGAAGAACACCAGUGGCGAAGGCGGCUUUCUAGGCCGUUACUGACGCUGAGGCGCGAAAGCUAGGGGAGCGAACAGGAUUAGAUACCCUGGUAGUCCCUGAGCGGG